UGUAGACUGCGAUCGCAGUGAUGGCGGCCGUCAGGGCAGGCGUCGCCGCUAGGGAUGUCUUCUGAUUAUCGGAAAACUAAGUAGGCGGAUGGAGAAUGGUACAAUUAACGUGUUUCCAUGGAAAUGAGUCAAUCGUUGUUGCUCCGGAGAAUCGUCCAUAUUGAAGUGCAGCUUGGCAAAGGCAUUGCAACUCCAGGCCACCAUCGUUCCCAUCGAUACGUAUCCAAGGGAUGC
This is a long non-coding RNA of Aedes aegypti (yellow fever mosquito), 234 nucleotides long. RefSeq lists it as uncharacterized. Lineage: Eukaryota; Metazoa; Arthropoda; Insecta; Diptera; Culicidae. The record is from RefSeq and is a predicted model, not a curated record. The transcript has 2 exons.